Molecule: transfer RNA, 70 nt
Filed under: Marmota monax (woodchuck)
Lineage: Eukaryota; Metazoa; Chordata; Mammalia; Rodentia; Sciuridae
Description: tRNA.Undet
Rfam family: tRNA
About the family: Transfer RNA (tRNA) molecules are approximately 80 nucleotides in length. Their secondary structure includes four short double-helical elements and three loops (D, anti-codon, and T loops).
Source: RNAcentral
GGGGUUGUGGCUCAGUGGUAGAGCACUCACCUGCACGUGUGAGGCUCUGGGUUCAAUCCUUAGCACCACA